ACAGCCCCGCGCCGCAGCCCCGGCACCUGCCGCCCUCCGCCGCAGCCCGGCUCCAGGGUCCCAAAGCCCACGGCUGCGCGGCGCCGGGCUGCGCCACGGGGUUGGUUUCAUUUUAAUAAUAUUUUUGUAAGGAAGGGAAGGAGGGAGGCAGAUGGGGCUGGGGAGGGCAGGGGGGACGGCUGGGGGCCCUCCUCUCUUCCUCUUUUCCCCUCGGCUGCCAAAGGAGGGAGAGCGGAGGCUGUGCAAACUCACCGCACCUCUGGGCAGGGCUCUGAGCAUCCCCAGCAGCGGGGUUGGAGCUCCGGGCAGGGCGGCACCGGCACGCCUCAGGGCUGGGGCAUGGAUGGAUGGCAGACAGCUGUGCUGGUGGAUCAAAGAUGUGCUGUGACACUGCCCAGCGCCCCAUCCCGGCUCUGGAGGUGCCUCCCCAGGAGCUGACAGGGCGCUCUGUGUGGGGACACCUGGCCAUGACAGGCACAGAACUACCCACUGCCCUCAGUAGAGGAUGCAGGAAAGGAUGAGGCAGCUGUUCUCACCCCGUUAACAUGCAGCUCCUGCUUCCUGACAGCCCUGGCAGAGCAAGGAGCAAUUCAUCUCCUCAUGGCUCCUGCUGCACUGGCAUCAAUAAAUGCAGUUCUGAAAAGCUGCCAUUACACGAGCACAUUAUUCCCGAUGAGAGAUAAAGAGCUGCCAAGGGCCAUGUAAGGACAGAGAUCAGGACCCCCUGAUGUGUGCCGACACCCAGCAGGGUGACAGCCCCACUCACCCGCCCGGGCUCCGAUGCUGGUUCCACGUCUGCCUGGGUGUCGCAGCAUCUCCUGAUCUGCAAAGUGUGCCUGGUCACCUGCCGAGGUGUCAGGGCAAGCCACCUGCCACUCCGGAGGCCUGUGUGCUGAGAGAAUGAGCCAGACCUGUUCUGCCAACCUCUGCAGCAAAGCAGGGAUUGUUACCCUCACCACAUGGCCUCAAAGCACUCCCACCCUUCUGCAAACCCCAGAUCCCACACAGGAAUGUGUGACGUGUCCAGGGGAAGGCUGACAGGAGGGAGCUGCCACAGGUUCCCGACCUGACCUCGAUGCCAUGCUGCACCCUCCUCACACUAAGCACCAUUCUCUGUGCCUUGGGAGGCCUGAGAGGAGCCACGGGCAGCUCCCAGACACAGAAAUUGGGGUCACCCACAUUACGGUACGUUCUGACAUUCCACAGCUUGACUUUGCAGUUUAAAUAUCUUAGUUUCAUUAAAUAUUUCAUCAUUUCACUGAAUGUUUUGCAUACAAUUCUCUAACAUCUGCUCCCCCUGAUCCCAGCUGGGGUACAGGGCGAGAACAGUCUGCCUGUGCAGGAGAUCCAGCAUGAAAAACAGGCCCAAAGAUGAGCCCCAGGCUGCCCACUGGGCCAGGCUGAGGUCCCAAAGAACCAGAGCAGCCCUCCUGGCUGCAGGGUGCCCCACACCAGGGGGAAGUGCGAUCCCUUGAGGGCUGCCCCACGCCAAGGCCGUGUGCCAGCAGAGCAGCACGCUGGCAGGGAGGUGACGCAGGGCAAAGCCGAGAGCCUCCACCACCAGGAGAGGCAGAGAUGAGGCCCACGGUCCCAAUUCCCGGCCGCGGGGAGCGCUGUGAUGGCGGGAGGGGAGCAACGGCGGCACGGCACCAAUGGCUGCGCUGGCACACCUCCAUACGGCGGCCCCGGCUCCGGAGCCGGGCACCAGGAAGGGCAGCGGUGCCGCUCGCCUCAGCCCCGCAGCAGCAGCUCCGGCUGCUCGGACAGCUCAGCCGCCUGCUGCCCCCCCCCGGCCCCGGAGCGCAGCGCAGCCUCACCCGCGCCCACACGGACCGAGGCGGUGCAGCACCGUGGCCUGAGGGGAGACCCCUCGCCCGCCACCGGGCUCAGCUUCGCCGCUGUGCCUUCAGAUGACGUUUCCAGCCUCCACCGAAGGGCCGGCCCAGGACCGAGCUGCCCCGGGAGCCCCGGGAGAAGCGGAGCCCGUCGAGAGCAAAGACGGAGGAAGGCGGCGUCGAGCGACGGAGCCUGGGACAAAAUGGCGGCGGGCGCUGACAGGGUCUGAGGGGGCGGGGCCUCGGGAGGAGCGGGCACUCAUUGGCGGCCCCGCAGCCAAUAAGGCCUCAGAGCCUCGGGGUCGGAUGGUGGCGGGAGGUGCGAGGUUCUUCAUUGGUUGGGUCAUUCCGGAGCUGGCCAAUCCCGUUGAGAGCGUGAGGCGGGGCCGAGGCCUUGUGUCACGUGAGAGCCGCCAUGUUGGAGCGGCCCUGCGGCGCCUGCUGCCAGGCGGGGACGGAGGUCGGUUUGCCUCGAGCUUCCCUUAAUGAAGUAUUGUGGUGAGAUAAUUUACUAACAGAUCGUCUAUUCAAGAAUGGAGCCAGCUGUAGUCGUAAAACACGGUGAGGCCCAUCUGGGCGUAGCUGAGAUGUGUGAUUCAGCUUGAAGGCAUUCUGCUUGGUUCCCGAGGGAUGUGUGUGAGUUUAGAUCAGCCAGAGUCUGCGUAAUGAAGAAAACAUGGAACAGAUGAUACUAAUGGGUGGAAAUUAGGAUAUGAUGUAUGCGAGCAUCAAGAAAAGCACUUGGAGGAGUAAUGGAGGAGAAUAGGGUUCUUCAGUGCCCCUGUUUCUCUGGGAAUGGAAGAUAAAUACCACAGACAGAAUAUAGAAUGAUUGUGUGUUUCUGGGAGCUUCUCCUCCAACUCAGAACCAGAAUCACUUGUGAAUUUGGCCAGAACCCAUUGUCAGGAAUGAAAAGUGUGUCUGUCACAGAUUCUUACCAGGUUCUCUAUAGCAGUGAGUUCACUUCUGCUGCUGAAAAUGUCUCUUAUGGAAAAAGACAGCAAGUAGAUGAACUCUAUCAGGAGUUGCCUGACACAGUCUUUGAAGAGUCAUAUUUGGAAUUCUUGCUGGGAAUGACCUACAGCAUACACAGCAGCAACAGUGGCAUCACGAAAAGAGGACUCGGGGGGAGGGGGUGCUCGCCAAAAAGUUUGCCCUGUGCACUGAGUGUAGGUCUGUGUGUGCACCAGCUCCCAAAUCCGUCUGGAUUCCCUUUCCUGCAAUGCAUCUAUUGUUUACAAGGGAAAGAGGGAGCCAAAUCCUGGGCAGAGCGUGCUUGAACCCUGCAAUACCACAGUAGUUGCUUUCUUGCUGGCUUCCCAUGGGGAAAUGUACGCAAAAGCAGCUGUCAGGAAUUGAUAUUAUUAACAGGAACAGGCUCUUGCCACAAAAAUAUGAGCUGGGCCUGUGUGC
Long non-coding RNA from Phasianus colchicus (ring-necked pheasant), 3248 nucleotides. RefSeq lists it as uncharacterized. The record is from RefSeq and is a predicted model, not a curated record. NCBI's taxonomy places the organism in Eukaryota, Metazoa, Chordata, Aves, Galliformes, Phasianidae.